Oncorhynchus gorbuscha (pink salmon) is the source of this 1028-nucleotide long non-coding RNA. RefSeq lists it as uncharacterized. The transcript is spliced from 2 exons. The record is from RefSeq and is a predicted model, not a curated record. Lineage: Eukaryota; Metazoa; Chordata; Actinopteri; Salmoniformes; Salmonidae.
AUUGUGUGUAGAUUGAGGAUUAGUAUGAUGUGAAUCCAUUUUAGAAUAAGGCUGUUACGUCACAAAAUGUGUACAAAGUCAAGGGGUCUGAAUACUUUCCGAAUGUACUGGACAGUAUGUGAAUAUAUAUGGUGAUGUUUUCAAUUUUAUAAGAGGGUAUUUAUUAGACUCAAUAGUAGCAUGUUUUGAACCAAGACAGAGCACAGUGAGUGAGCAGUGACAACCGAGUGAGGGAUCAUUAGCUUUGAUACCUUGUGAUAGCUAAUGGUGUUAGCUUCGAUACAGUGUAUUAACUUGGUGAAGUGUGUGUGUGUGUUUGUGUGUGUGUUUGUGUUCGAAUAAUGGGGUUAUGAUGUGUUAGCUUUGAUGCUUUAGUAAGUGUGAAGCAGUGCCUGGAGGUUAAUGCCAACUGGUUGGUGUGUGUAGUGACAGUGUGUUUUACACUCCAGGCAUGUGUGUGUGUGUGUGUGUGUGUGUGUGUGUGUGUGUGUGUGUGUGUGUGUGUGUGUGUGUGUGUGUGUGUGUGUGUGUGUGUGUGUGUGUGUGUGUGUGUGUGUGUGUGUGUGUGUGUGUGUGUGUGUGUGUGUGUGUGUGUGUGUGUGUGUGUGUGUGUGUGUGUGUGUGUGUUGUGCCAGCUUGUUUGUUUGUCGUGAGAGUGAGACACCAUGAUGCUGAUAAUGACUCCAGGGUUGAACCUUCCUCUCUGUGUAUCUGCAGUCUAUCCACUAGGUUUGAUAAUGACUCCAGGGUUGAACCUUCCUCUCUGUGUAUCUGCAGUCUAUCCACUAGGUUUGAUAAUGACUCCAGGGUUGAACCUUCCUCUCUGUGUGUAUCUGCAGUCUAUCCACUAGGUUUGAUAAUGACUCCAGGGUUGAACCUUCCUCUCUGUGUAUCUGCAGUCUAUCCACUAGGUUUGAUAAUGACUCCAGGGUUGAACCUUCCUCUCUGUGUAUCUGCAGUCUAUCCACUAGGUUUGAUAAUGUGCUGCAUGUUGCUGUUGUGACUGUUUUUUGUUUAAUAAACAACAA